RNAcentral lists this ribosomal RNA (2190 nucleotides) under Escherichia coli. RNAcentral's name for it is "bacterial LSU rRNA". It matches the Rfam family "Bacterial large subunit ribosomal RNA", at positions 1 to 2207 of the family's 2925-position model. The record is from RNAcentral. Lineage: Bacteria; Pseudomonadati; Pseudomonadota; Gammaproteobacteria; Enterobacterales; Enterobacteriaceae.
GGGUUGUGAGGUUAAGCGACUAAGCGUACACGGUGGAUGCCCUGGCAGUCAGAGGCGAUGAAGGACGUGCUAAUCUGCGAUAAGCGUCGGUAAGGUGAUAUGAACCGUUAUAACCGGCGAUUUCCGAAUGGGGAAACCCAGUGUGUUUCGACACACUAUCAUUAACUGAAUCCAUAGGUUAAUGAGGCGAACCGGGGGAACUGAAACAUCUAAGUACCCCGAGGAAAAGAAAUCAACCGAGAUUCCCCCAGUAGCGGCGAGCGAACGGGGAGCAGCCCAGAGUCUGAAUCAGUGUGUGUGUUAGUGGAAGCGUCUGGAAAGGCGCGCGAUACAGGGUGACAGCCCCGUACACAAAAAUGCACAUACUGUGAGCUCGAUGAGUAGGGCGGGACACGUGGUAUCCUGUCUGAAUAUGGGGGGACCAUCCUCCAAGGCUAAAUACUCCUGACUGACCGAUAGUGAACCAGUACCGUGAGGGAAAGGCGAAAAGAACCCCGGCGAGGGGAGUGAAAAAGAACCUGAAACCGUGUACGUACAAGCAGUGGGAGCACGCUUAGGCGUGUGACUGCGUACCUUUUGUAUAAUGGGUCAGCGACUUAUAUUCUGUAGCAAGGUUAACCGAAUAGGGGAGCCGAAGGGAAACCGAGUCUUAACUGGGCGUUAAGUUGCAGGGUAUAGACCCGAAACCCGGUGAUCUAGCCAUGGGCAGGUUGAAGGUUGGGUAACACUAACUGGAGGACCGAACCGACUAAUGUUGAAAAAUUAGCGGAUGACUUGUGGCUGGGGGUGAAAGGCCAAUCAAACCGGGAGAUAGCUGGUUCUCCCCGAAAGCUAUUUAGGUAGCGCCUCGUGAAUUCAUCUCCGGGGGUAGAGCACUGUUUCGGCAAGGGGGUCAUCCCGACUUACCAACCCGAUGCAAACUGCGAAUACCGGAGAAUGUUAUCACGGGAGACACACGGCGGGUGCUAACGUCCGUCGUGAAGAGGGAAACAACCCAGACCGCCAGCUAAGGUCCCAAAGUCAUGGUUAAGUGGGAAACGAUGUGGGAAGGCCCAGACAGCCAGGAUGUUGGCUUAGAAGCAGCCAUCAUUUAAAGAAAGCGUAAUAGCUCACUGGUCGAGUCGGCCUGCGCGGAAGAUGUAACGGGGCUAAACCAUGCACCGAAGCUGCGGCAGCGACGCUUAUGCGUUGUUGGGUAGGGGAGCGUUCUGUAAGCCUGUGAAGGUGUGCUGUGAGGCAUGCUGGAGGUAUCAGAAGUGCGAAUGCUGACAUAAGUAACGAUAAAGCGGGUGAAAAGCCCGCUCGCCGGAAGACCAAGGGUUCCUGUCCAACGUUAAUCGGGGCAGGGUGAGUCGACCCCUAAGGCGAGGCCGAAAGGCGUAGUCGAUGGGAAACAGGUUAAUAUUCCUGUACUUGGUGUUACUGCGAAGGGGGGACGGAGAAGGCUAUGUUGGCCGGGCGACGGUUGUCCCGGUUUAAGCGUGUAGGCUGGUUUUCCAGGCAAAUCCGGAAAAUCAAGGCUGAGGCGUGAUGACGAGGCACUACGGUGCUGAAGCAACAAAUGCCCUGCUUCCAGGAAAAGCCUCUAAGCAUCAGGUAACAUCAAAUCGUACCCCAAACCGACACAGGUGGUCAGGUAGAGAAUACCAAGGCGCUUGAGAGAACUCGGGUGAAGGAACUAGGCAAAAUGGUGCCGUAACUUCGGGAGAAGGCACGCUGAUAUGUAGGUGAAGUCCCUUGCGGAUGGAGCUGAAAUCAGUCGAAGAUACCAGCUGGCUGCAACUGUUUAUUAAAAACACAGCACUGUGCAAACACGAAAGUGGACGUAUACGGUGUGACGCCUGCCCGGUGCCGGAAGGUUAAUUGAUGGGGUCAGCGCAAGCGAAGCUCUUGAUCGAAGCCCCGGUAAACGGCGGCCGUAACUAUAACGGUCCUAAGGUAGCGAAAUUCCUUGUCGGGUAAGUUCCGACCUGCACGAAUGGCGUAAUGAUGGCCAGGCUGUCUCCACCCGAGACUCAGUGAAAUUGAACUCGCUGUGAAGAUGCAGUGUACCCGCGGCAAGACGGAAAGACCCCGUGAACCUUUACUAUAGCUUGACACUGAACAUUGAGCCUUGAUGUGUAGGAUAGGUGGGAGGCUUUGAAGUGUGGACGCCAGUCUGCAUGGAGCCGACCUUGAAAUACCACCCUU